This 181-nucleotide ribosomal RNA is filed under the name uncultured bacterium. RNAcentral's name for it is "partial 16S ribosomal RNA". It matches the Rfam family "Bacterial small subunit ribosomal RNA", at positions 1319 to 1500 of the family's 1533-position model. The record is from RNAcentral.
UAUGAAGUUGGAAUCGCUAGUAAUCGCGGAUCAGCAUGCCGCGGUGAAUACGUUCCCGGGCCUUGUACACACCGCCCGUCACACCAUGAGAGUCGGGAACACCCGAAGUCAGUAGUCCAACCACGUGAGGACGCUGCCGAAGGUAGGAUUGGCGACUGGGGUGAAGUCGUAACAAGGUAAC